RNAcentral lists this long non-coding RNA (220 nucleotides) under Brassica napus (rape). RNAcentral's name for it is "long non-coding RNA (BNAP_LNC016265)". The record is from RNAcentral. Lineage: Eukaryota; Viridiplantae; Streptophyta; Magnoliopsida; Brassicales; Brassicaceae.
UUCGCUUUGGAAUCUAUAUAUUUGACGUUAUCUCAAAUUGACCCCACUAAACCCACAAGUAACCUUUGAGGGCCCAUUCGACUAUAACACAACAAAUGAUUUGACAUCAGAAAUUACCUAAUCACCAUCAUAUUUCCAUAUCAUCUUGGUUGAAUGUCAAAGGUUGUUUUCGGACUUUUUUUUUUUUUUUUUUUUUUUUUUUUUUUUUUUUUUUUUUUUU